GACGUAGGGACCGAGCGUUGUCCGGAUUCAUUGGGCGUAAAGCGCGCGCAGGCGGUUUCGCAGGUCGGGUGUGAAAACCAGAGGCUCAACCUCUGGCCUGCAUCCGAAACCGCGAGACUAGAGGCAGGUAGGGGAGAUCGGAAUUCCUGGUGUAGCGGUGAAAUGCGCAGAUAUCAGGAGGAACACCGGUGGCGAAGGCGGAUCUCUGGGCCUGACCUGACGCUGAGGUGCGAAAGCUAGGGGAGCGAACAGG
Molecule: ribosomal RNA, 253 nt
Filed under: uncultured bacterium
Lineage: Bacteria
Description: partial 16S ribosomal RNA
Rfam family: Bacterial small subunit ribosomal RNA
Source: RNAcentral